RNAcentral lists this ribosomal RNA (256 nucleotides) under uncultured bacterium. RNAcentral describes it as "partial 16S ribosomal RNA". It matches the Rfam family "Bacterial small subunit ribosomal RNA", at positions 793 to 1050 of the family's 1533-position model. The record is from RNAcentral.
GUCCACGCCGUAAACGGUGGGCACUAGAUGUGGGGACUUUCAACGGUUUCCGUGUCGUAGCUAACGCGUUAAGUGCCCCGCCUGGGGAGUACGGCCGCAAGGCUAAAACUCAAAGGAAUUGACGGGGGCCCGCACAAGCAGCGGAGCAUGUUGCUUAAUUCGAGGCAACGCGAAGAACCUUACCUAGGUUUGACAUGUACGGAAAAGCCAUAGAGAUAUGGUGUCCUUCGGGGCCGUACACAGGUGGUGCAUGGCU